RNAcentral lists this ribosomal RNA (791 nucleotides) under uncultured Entrophospora. Its description in RNAcentral is "SSU rRNA". It matches the Rfam family "Eukaryotic small subunit ribosomal RNA", at positions 328 to 1114 of the family's 1831-position model. Lineage: Eukaryota; Fungi; Glomeromycota; Glomeromycetes; Entrophosporales; Entrophosporaceae. The record is from RNAcentral.
GUAGGAUAGAGGCCUACCAUGGUGGUAACGGGUAACGGGGAAUUAGGGUUCGAUUCCGGAGAGGGAGCCUGAGAAACGGCUACCACAUCCAAGGAAGGCAGCAGGCGCGCAAAUUACCCAAUCCCGACACGGGGAGGUAGUGACAAUAAAUAACAAUACGGGGCUCUUUCGGGUCUCGUAAUUGGAAUGAGUACAAUUUAAAUCCCUUAACGAGGAACAAUUGGAGGGCAAGUCUGGUGCCAGCAGCCGCGGUAAUUCCAGCUCCAAUAGCGUAUAUUAAAGUUGUUGCAGUUAAAAAGCUCGUAGUUGAAUUUCGGGAUUGACACAUCGGUCGUGCCUUAAGGGGUAUGAACUGGUGUAGUCAAUUUCUCACCUUCUGGAGAACCGCGAUGCCCUUAAUUGGGUGUCGCGGGGAACCAGGACCUUUACUUUGAAAAAAUUAGAGUGUUUAAAGCAGGCAUUUUGCUUGAAUACAUUAGCAUGGAAUAAUAAAAUAGGACGGCAUGAUUCUAUUUUGUUGGUUUCUAGGAUCACCGUAAUGAUUAAUAGGGAUAGUUGGGGGCAUUAGUAUUCAAUUGUCAGAGGUGAAAUUCUUGGAUUUAUUGAAGACUAACUACUGCGAAAGCAUUUGCCAAGGAUGUUUUCAUUAAUCAAGAACGAAAGUUAGGGGAUCGAAGACGAUCAGAUACCGUCGUAGUCUUAACCAUAAACUAUGCCGACUAGGAAUCAGACGAUGUUAAUUUUUUAAUGACUCGUUUGGCACCUUACGGGAAACCAAAGUGUUUGGGUUC